CCUACGGGUGGCAGCAGUGAGGAAUAUUGGUCAAUGGACGAGAGCCUGAACCAGCCAAGUAGCGUGAAGGAUGACUGCCCUAUGGGUUGUAAACUUCUUUUAUAUGGGAAUAAAAUACAGUAUGUAUACCCUCUUGUAUGUACCUUAUGAAUAAGGAUCGGCUAACUCCGUGCCAGCAGCCGCGGUAAUACGGAGGAUCCGAGCGUUAUCCGGAUUUAUUGGGUUUAAAGGGAGCGUAGGUGGGUUGUUAAGUCAGUUGUGAAAGUUUGCGGCUCAACCGUAAAAUUGCAGUUGAAACUGGCAUUCUUGAGUACAGUAGAGGUAGGCGGAAUUCGUGGUGUAGCGGUGAAAUGCUUAGAUAUCACGAAGAACUCCGAUUGCGAAGGCAGCUCACUGGACUGUAACUGACGCUGAUGCUCGAAAGUGUGGGUAUCAAACAGGAUUAGAUACCCGUGUAGUC
RNAcentral lists this ribosomal RNA (460 nucleotides) under uncultured bacterium. Its description in RNAcentral is "partial 16S ribosomal RNA". It matches the Rfam family "Bacterial small subunit ribosomal RNA", at positions 338 to 795 of the family's 1533-position model. The record is from RNAcentral.